Molecule: long non-coding RNA, 668 nt
Filed under: Chinchilla lanigera (long-tailed chinchilla)
Lineage: Eukaryota; Metazoa; Chordata; Mammalia; Rodentia; Chinchillidae
Description: lncRNA (ENSCLAG00000026796.1)
Source: RNAcentral
CUGGGAGGCUCUUGACCUCAGUGGGAGAUGAGCUGAUGAUGCAGGAGGAAGAGUGGAGGUUAAAAUAAACCCGAAGGAAAACAUGUGAGGAGCUUGGAGACUCUGGGCCCUGCCUAUGGGGUAAAGGGGUCUGGGAAUCACCCUUCCUGCAAUUCACAGAUUUGCGCUCCCUGGAAGUGUGCUUUGGGGUCCAAGAAGGACCAUGAGGCCCUCCGAAAAUGAGCCCCAGGAAAGGAGGGACAGGUUCUUCCAGGUGCGAAUCAAACCCUUGUUCCCACCUGAAGACCUAAACAAUUAUAUGGAAAUAUUUAAAGGCUACCAGGUAAACACAUAGUAGUUCUCAGAAACUAGAGGCCUUGUGAAAGUGGACUGGAAACGUGGAGGACUCUUCAACAAACCCAAGAGUCUGCAUGUGAUCGGGAGAGGGGACAGUGGCGUGGAAUAACCUGGCUGUGUCGCCUGUGGUCCCAUGGGGGCCAGCAGUCUCCACCAGCAAGCUCUCAGGAAGACAACUGCGGCUGGAGGUGUCUCCCGGAACCCUCAGGAUACAGGCUGGAGGACUAUGACUGCAAAGACAUGAAAGGUCUUAGGCCCACAGGAACAAGAGAAUGGAGGAAGAGGAAAAUGGAGAUGAGACGCUGACCUGAUUCUGGAGAUGGGGAAGGAGA